GGGCAUGUGGUGUAGUUGGUUAUCACGCUCGCUUAGCAUUUACGCUUGUGAGAGGGGUCCGGUUCAAUCCCGGACAUGUCCA
Panus rudis PR-1116 ss-1 is the source of this 82-nucleotide non-coding RNA. The record is from the annotation of a GenBank genome assembly. NCBI's taxonomy places the organism in Eukaryota, Fungi, Basidiomycota, Agaricomycetes, Polyporales, Panaceae.